UUUUUACCUCCCACAGUAUUUAAAAAUGUCAGUAUUAAAGUUUUGUAUUCAUACUUUGCAAACUAAGGAGAACCAAAUUCUUUUAAACUCUUUAGCUAUGUGAAACAUAAUUUUAACUGUUCUUUAUCAGAUCUCCACAGAUACAUAUAAUACAAGAGAUUUGUAACUCAACAAACUAUUGUUUAAAGACGCGGUUAAUUCGACACCC
RNAcentral lists this long non-coding RNA (208 nucleotides) under Mytilus galloprovincialis (Mediterranean mussel). The record is from RNAcentral. Lineage: Eukaryota; Metazoa; Mollusca; Bivalvia; Mytilida; Mytilidae.